AUACGGAGGGUGCAAGCGUUAAUCGGAACUACUGGGCGUAAAGCGUACGUAGGCGGUUCGUUAAGUUAGAUGUGAAAGCCCCGGGCUUAACCUGGGAACUGCAUUUAAAACUGGCGAACUAGAGUUGAGUAGAGGGGAGUGGAAUUUCAGGUGUAGCGGUGAAAGGCGUAGAGAUCUGAAGGAACACCAGUGGCGAAGGCGACUCCCUGGACUCGAACUGACGCUGAGGUACGAAAGCGUGGGUAGCAAACGGGAUUAGAAACCCUAGUAGUCC
Molecule: ribosomal RNA, 274 nt
Filed under: uncultured bacterium
Lineage: Bacteria
Description: partial 16S ribosomal RNA
Rfam family: Bacterial small subunit ribosomal RNA
Source: RNAcentral